RNAcentral lists this ribosomal RNA (623 nucleotides) under Wolbachia endosymbiont of Bemisia tabaci. RNAcentral describes it as "bacterial SSU rRNA". It matches the Rfam family "Bacterial small subunit ribosomal RNA", at positions 210 to 853 of the family's 1533-position model. Lineage: Bacteria; Pseudomonadati; Pseudomonadota; Alphaproteobacteria; Rickettsiales; Anaplasmataceae. The record is from RNAcentral.
GGAAAUUGCUAUUAGAUGAGCCUAUAUUAGAUUAGCUAGUUGGUGGAGUAAUAGCCUACCAAGGCAAUGAUCUAUAGCUGAUCUGAGAGGAUGAUCAGCCACACUGGAACUGAGAUACGGUCCAGACUCCUACGGGAGGCAGCAGUGGGGAAUAUUGGACAAUGGGCGAAAGCCUGAUCCAGCCAUGCCGCAUGAGUGAAGAAGGCCUUUGGGUUGUAAAGCUCUUUUAGUGAGGAAGAUAAUGACGGUACUCACAGAAGAAGUCCUGGCUAACUCCGUGCCAGCAGCCGCGGUAAUACGGAGAGGGCUAGCGUUAUUCGGAAUUAUUGGGCGUAAAGGGCGCGUAGGCUGAUUAAUAAGUUAAAAGUGAAAUCCCGAGGCUUAACCUUGGAAUUGCUUUUAAAACUAUUAAUCUAGAGAUUGAAAGAGGAUAGAGGAAUUCCUGAUGUAGAGGUAAAAUUCGUAAAUAUUAGGAGGAACACCAGUGGCGAAGGCGUCUAUCUGGUUCAAAUCUGACGCUGAAGCGCGAAGGCGUGGGGAGCAAACAGGAUUAGAUACCCUGGUAGUCCACGCUGUAAACGAUGAAUGUUAAAUAUGGGAAGUUUACUUUCUGUAUUACACUA